Molecule: ribosomal RNA, 406 nt
Filed under: uncultured bacterium
Lineage: Bacteria
Description: partial 16S ribosomal RNA
Rfam family: Bacterial small subunit ribosomal RNA
Source: RNAcentral
AUCGAACGCUGGCGGCAUGCCUAACACAUGCAAGUCGAACGAGUGGCGCGCGGGUGAGUAAUGUCUGGGAAACUGCCUGCUGUUGGGGGUUAACUACUGGAACUGGUACCUAAUCCCGCAUACCAUCGGAUGUGCCCAGAUGGGAUUCGUUAGGAGGUGGGGUAACGGGUCACCUAGGCGACGAUCCCUAGCUGGUCUGAGAGGAUGACCAGCCACACUGGAACUGGGACACGGUCCAGACUCCUACGGGAGGCAGCAGUGGGGAAUAUGGGACAAUGGGGGCGAGCCUGAUGCAGCCAGGCCGCGUGUAUGAAGAAGGCGUUCGGGUUGUAAAGUACGUUCAGCGGGGAGACGGUACCCGCAGAAGAAGCACCGGCUAACUACGUGCCAGCCGCCGCGGUAAUUC